Molecule: small nuclear RNA, 139 nt
Filed under: Panthera leo (lion)
Lineage: Eukaryota; Metazoa; Chordata; Mammalia; Carnivora; Felidae
Also listed under: 1 other name
Description: U2 spliceosomal RNA (ENSPLOG00000012548.1)
Rfam family: U2 spliceosomal RNA
About the family: U2 is a small nuclear RNA (snRNA) component of the spliceosome (involved in pre-mRNA splicing). Complementary binding between U2 snRNA (in an area lying towards the 5' end but 3' to hairpin I) and the branchpoint sequence (BPS) of the intron results the bulging out of an unpaired adenosine, on the BPS, which initiates a nucleophilic attack at the intronic 5' splice site, thus starting the first of two transesterification reactions that mediate splicing.
Source: Rfam by way of RNAcentral
AUCGCUUCUUGGCCUUUUGGCUAAGAUCAAGUGAUUGUGUUACUGUUUAUUGGAUACAUGUCUUUCCCAUUUGCUUGAAAGUUCCAGAAAGGCAAAGUUUGUGUCUAAUGCUGUUUGUUUUAGGAGGUGAUAAAGCCUC